AUGCUAACGAGCCGGUGCGUAUUCAUCACAGCGGUGCUGCAACUACUAAUCUCGUUCCCGGCGGUCGCCGGGGAACCACAAAUCGGGCUGCCCGGCUGCCAGACCAGCUGCGGCAACGUGAGCGUGUUCUACCCGUUCGGCAUGGGACCGAAGAGGUGCUACUGGCCGGGUUUGAAGCUCACCUGCGACGACCGCGGAAGCAAACCCCCGCGGCUGCUCUUUGGUGAUGGUGGCGCUGGUGCAUUCGAGGUGGUCGAGAUUUCCCUAGACAAGCUCACGAUGCGCGUAGUCAGCCACAAACUACAAGCCAUCAACAUCAACAUGAGCAGCGGCGGCUCUGGCCGGUUGAGCCUCGGUUACACCGAGGCCAUCGGCGGGGCGCCGUACUUCCUGCAGCAGGGGGCCAACGAGAUGAUCCUCACCGGGUGCAACGUGCAGGCGACACUGCGGUGUAACGGAAAUAUCGUCAAUCGGUGCGCCUCCUUCUGCCCCAUAUUUACUGACGACAAUGGUAGUCCGCUCCCCGCCCAGUAUUUCGCCGCAGACUACAACUCCAACAGCUGCUCCAACUUGGGCUGCUGCCAGUCGUCCAUCUUGUCCAGCAGCACGUCCUAUGAUGUCGAGGUCAAUCGGCUCGGCGAUUGCCUGCGGUACGGCCCUGUGCCCGACCCGUUUCCCGACGAUGUUCCAAUGAAUGUGCUCAUCGCUGAGGAGGGUUGGUUCUACCCGGAGAAUGUCAUAAAUGUUACCUCGUGGCCCACCGUGAUUUUCCGGUGGGCGGUGCCGCAUGGUGCCGCGAUCCCGGUGGGGCCGUGCCCCGAUGAGGCAGCCCGGAGCAUCUGCAAGAGCACCCAUAGCUAUUGCACACAAGAGUGGUCAAAUAUACAGUCGGGGACUAUUCUUGCCAGUGCAACUCCGGCUACACCGGCAACCCUUACCUCACCUAUGGAUGCCAAGAUAUCCAUGUGUGUGAUCAGAAAGAAAAACAUGGCUGCUUCGGCCAUUGUGAGCGACUGCCCGGAUAUGUUAGCUGCCGGUGCCCAGAAGGAACCAAUGGCAACUACUCCAUACCCGGGGGCUGUGUCGCAGACACAAACACAGGUAACUUGGCCUUAAUCAUUGGUUUGUCGGCUGCAAGUGGCCCAUUCAUUCUACUUUUGGUUCUUUGCAUACUCGUAUUGUCAAGUGAUUUUAAGGAACAAAAGCUGAGGAUGUUGAGACGGAAGUUCUUAACUCAAAUCCGUGGACAACUGCUGAAGCAGUUGGUAUCUCAUAGGGCAGACAUCGCAGAGAGGAUGCUCAUUUCGUUAGAAGAGCUACAGAAGGCUACCAACAAUUUUGAUCAAGCUCGAAGGCUUGGUGGUGGAGGGCAUGGCACUGUCUACAAAGGGAUCUUGUCAGACUUGCAUGUUGUGGCUAUAAAGAAGUCAAAUAUUGUUGUCAAAAGAGAAACUGUCGAGUUCAUCAAUGAAGUUGCGAUACUCUCACAGAUCAACCAUAGGAAUAUUGUAAAGCUUCGUGGGUGUUGCCUCGAGAUAGAAGUCCCUUUAUUGGCAUACGAGUUCAUUUCCAAUGGAACACUUAGUGAUCAUCUUCACACGGAAGAACCAAGAUCGUUAACUUGGAAAGAUAGGUUAAGGAUCACAACCGAAACAUGCAAAGCUCUUGCAUACCUUCACUCUGUUGUUUCAGUGCCCGUAAUACAUAGAGAUAUCAAGCCUUCCAACAUACUUCUUGAUGAUGCCUUGACAGCAAGAGUGUCAGACUUUGGAGCUUCAAGGUACAUUGCCAUGAAUCAAACAGGAACAACAACUGCAGUGCAAGGAACUAUAGGUUACUUGGAUCCUACAUAUUAUUAUAGCAGACGCCUCACAGAAAGUAGUGAUGUUUAUAGCUUUGGAGUUCUUCUUAUUGAAUUGCUUACUAGGAGGAAGCCAUCUUUGUAUAGAUCCAAUGAAGGCGUUGGGCUUGUCAUAGAUCCAAUGAACCGGGACUAAAGGCCCUCUAGAACUGGGACUAAUGGGCCUUUUUCUACUA
Molecule: ribosomal RNA, 2037 nt
Filed under: Triticum aestivum (bread wheat)
Lineage: Eukaryota; Viridiplantae; Streptophyta; Magnoliopsida; Poales; Poaceae
Description: partial small subunit ribosomal RNA
Source: RNAcentral